This 484-nucleotide ribosomal RNA is filed under the name uncultured bacterium. Its description in RNAcentral is "partial 16S ribosomal RNA". It matches the Rfam family "Bacterial small subunit ribosomal RNA", at positions 28 to 507 of the family's 1533-position model. The record is from RNAcentral.
AUUGAACGCUGGCGGCAUGCUUUACACAUGCAAGUCGAACGGCAGCGCGGGCUUCGGCCUGGCGGCGAGUGGCGAACGGGUGAGUAAUGCAUCGGAACGUGCCCAGUAGUGGGGGAUAGCCCGGCGAAAGCCGGAUUAAUACCGCAUACGACCUGAGGGUGAAAGCGGGGGACCGAAAGGCCUCGCGCUAUUUGAGCGGCCGAUGUCGGAUUAGCUAGUUGGUGGGGUAAAGGCUUACCAAGGCGACGAUCCGUAGCUGGUCUGAGAGGACGACCAGCCACACUGGGACUGAGACACGGCCCAGACUCCUACGGGAGGCAGCAGUGGGGAAUUUUGGGCAAUGGGGGCAACCCUGAUCCAGCCAUGCCGCGUGCGGGAAGAAGGCCUUCGGGUUGUAAACCGCUUUUGUUCGGGAAGAAAUCCUCUGGGCUAAUACCCCGGGGGGAUGACGGUACCGGAAGAAUAAGCACCGGCUAACUACGUG